ACAAAGAUUCCUCUCUUAUCCUUCAUUGAUUUUCGGUACAGUAUGUGCUAGAGGAGAGAGUGAGCCAAACAAACAUCAUCACCAUUAUUAGUAUUAUAAAGAAAAGAUACUCUCUCUCACUAUUAUAUUAAUUUUCGGUACACACAAAAGGUAAAAGAGAGAGUGAGCCCUUAAUUGAAACCAAGAGAGGAAGUAAAAUCACAUUAUUCAUUUUAAAUGAAGAAACAAAGAGAACUCUCUCCUCUCUUCUUAUCUUUAACGAAAAAAACAAAUAGUAGAAAAAAUCAAAACACAAUCAAACUAACAGUAGCAUAUGAAGAACAAAAGGUGGAGAAGAUGAACACACGGCGGAAUAGAUGAAGACUCACGGCGGCUCACAUAAGAUCACAGCGGCCGGAGCUUCUCCGGCGCGAUGGCCGGAGGUAAAAAAAACCAGAAACAUCUACAAAAGAAGUUUGAAAGUUCUAAACUAAAAAAUGUAGCACAAUCAGUGCAAGAGUCACGAAAGUAAAGAGGAAUUCGGUAUCAGAAGAAGGUUCUCAACCUUUUGAGGCAAAGAAAUAAAAAAACAGUGGCGGUUGAGAGCUCCGGCACGGCGGUUUUGGAAUUCCGGCGGUGGUUUCCGGUCAAGCUCGGUUCAGGUGAGUUUUCUGAUUUUUUUGUUCUGAGUAAGUCUGAAAAGUUCUGAGCAAAAAGGUCCCUUGUGUCAGUGUGAGUCAAUGCUUUUAUAGUGUAGAAUUUAGGGUUUGCAAUGAAUAACGUGGGCUGAGAAAAAUCUGAGUUUGUGUUGAGGUCAGGUUCAAACAAAAUGUCAAUUUCUUCUUGUGGCAGCCCAAAUCCGAAAAUGCUAUCCAUUCAGUCCAACAAUUCACAUUCUUUUUGUUUGCAAUGUUUUUGCAGUUGAUUGAAAAGAACCUUGGGCCUGGAUUUAACUUUGAACUUGAAUUACUUGUUGGUGUGAAUGAAAAUUUACCACAGUAACUUCACUUUGUACCAUUAUUUUCUUGAAUGCUUGUGUAUGAUUUUGAUUGCAUCUUAAAUUCUCUUCUUCUUUGCAUAUGAUGAGCACCAUUGACAUGAAGAUGGAGAGAAAAGCCUUGGAGGGACUAUGGUGAACUCGAAGCCCAAACAUGAAGUUUGAAAGAAAAUGGUGGACUUAUGAAGUGACUUCAAUCUUGAUCACACAAAACUUUGAAUUCUUGUAAAAUAAAAUGUAGAAAUUUGAAUUCUUGCAACCAUAAUGAUGAAAUCUUGGAUUGUCAUGAAUUAGAUCUUUGUAUGAAAUAAAGACUUUUGCUUUGAAUUUUGUAAUCUUUGAUGUAUCGUUGGCUUGAAACUUUAGGAAUUUAAUUCCUCUUGAAUGAAUGUACCUUUAAAGUUCAUGUAAAACAAAUCUUGGAUCAUGAGUGCUAAUUUUGCAUUUUGAA
Molecule: long non-coding RNA, 1427 nt
Organism: Vicia villosa (hairy vetch)
Lineage: Eukaryota; Viridiplantae; Streptophyta; Magnoliopsida; Fabales; Fabaceae
Exons: 2
Source: RefSeq, a predicted model, not a curated record